UACGGAGGGAGCUAGCGUUGUUCGGAUAUACUGGGCGUAAAGCGCACGUAGGCGGCGCCGUAAGUCAGGGGUGAAAUCCCGGAGCUCAACUCCGGAACUGCCCUUGAAACUGCGGUGCUAGAAUCUUGGAGAGGCGAGUGGAAUUCCGAGUGUAGAGGUGAAAUUCGUAGAUAUUCGGAAGAACACCAGUGGCGAAGGCGACUCGCUGGACAAGUAUUGACGCUGAGGUGCGAAAGCGUGGGGAGCAAACAGG
RNAcentral lists this ribosomal RNA (253 nucleotides) under uncultured bacterium. RNAcentral describes it as "partial 16S ribosomal RNA". It matches the Rfam family "Bacterial small subunit ribosomal RNA", at positions 524 to 776 of the family's 1533-position model. The record is from RNAcentral.